Non-coding RNA from Bactrocera oleae (olive fruit fly), 837 nucleotides. Lineage: Eukaryota; Metazoa; Arthropoda; Insecta; Diptera; Tephritidae. The record is from RefSeq and is a predicted model, not a curated record.
AUUGUACAUGUUAUCAAAUCUUAGAAUGAUUUAUCUAAAACUCGUCAAUAUUGUCAAAUUAAAUUGAAAGUACCUAACAACCUCUUGAAAACUUCGCCAAAUUCGCAAAUAAUGAUUCUGCUGGCGAAAUUUCUUGAAAACUGAACAAUUUCAUUCACAAAUUUGUAGAACUUCGUAGGAUAUUUGCGUCGGUAAUAAUAGGAGGAGAAUGAAGAAAAAAAUGUGCAAAAUUGUAAGCGGCCAGUCUUGGCAACAACUGAAAACCUUGUAAUGCAACCAGUAAACAUUUACCAAAAAACUACUCACAACGGAUGUGACUUUGUCUGAGCAAGGUAUGCACAAAAGCGGGCAGCAUAGAGAAUGCCGCAGAAGGAAGAGUCGGUGGAGCAGUGCGGGAUUGUUGCAGCCAGGCCUUUCGCACUUAUUGCGAAAUAUUCAUUACGAAUGCACAAAGGACUUGCGAUAAGAACACUCCAAUGUAACGAAUCGUGACUGGCGAUUAUUUGAAUAUUCGGCGUAGAACGGAGCAUACCUGCCGCUGGCAACCUUAAUCAUAACCUAUAUACUUGUAUUUAACUCAAUAACUUGCACUCAAAUAUUAUGCCGCAAUUUUUCUACUUCACUGCGAAAUUCCAGUAUGCUCUCCAACCCAGAAAAAGAACAAACACGUCACUCUCAUACACAUUUCGGGUCAUAAAAAUAUUAUUAUUUAUGAGCACGUUGCCUGCGUCGGGCCGAGAAUGUGACCAUCAAAAAUGUUGUGCUCAUAAAUUAACGGAGUCAAUGGGUAUAAGUCGGCUUUCGGCAGAUUCAUGUUGUUCAACGACGUGCCACAAA